UGGGGAAUUUUGCGCAAUGGGCGAAAGCCUGACGCAGCAACGCCGCGUGAGUGAUGAAGGCUUUCGGGUCGUAAAGCUCUGUCAAGGGGAAAGAAAUGCUUAGCGGUUAAUACCCGUUAUGCUUGACGGUACCCCUAAAGGAAGCACCGGCUAACUCCGUGCCAGCAGCCGCGGUAAUACGGAGGGUGCGAGCGUUGUUCGGAAUUAUUGGGCGUAAAGCGCGUGUAGGCGGUUUGGUAAGUCUGAUGUGAAAGCCCUGGGCUCAACCCGGGAAGUGCAUUGGAAACUGUCAGACUUGAAUACGGGAGAGGGUAGUGGAAUUCCUGGUGUAGGAGUGAAAUCCGUAGAUAUCAGGAGGAACACCGGUGGCGAAGGCGGCUGCCUGGACCGAUAUUGACGCUGAGACGCGAAAGCGUGGGUAGCAAACA
Molecule: ribosomal RNA, 428 nt
Filed under: uncultured microorganism
Description: bacterial SSU rRNA
Rfam family: Bacterial small subunit ribosomal RNA
Source: RNAcentral